CCUACGGGGGGCUGCAGUGGGGAAUAUUGCACAAUGGGGGAAACCCUGAUGCAGCAACGCCGCGUGAGCGAAGAAGGCCUUCGGGUCGUAAAGCUCUGUCCUAAGGGAAGAAUAAUGACGGUACCUUAGGAGGAAGCCCCGGCUAACUACCUGCCAGCAGCCGCGGUAAUACGUAGGGGGCGAGCGUUAUCCGGAAUCACUGGGCGUAAAGGGUGCGUAGGCGGCCCUGCAAGUAAGGAGUUAAAUCCCUCGGCUCAACCGAGGUCAGAUCUUGAAACUGGAGGGCUUGAGUGCAGGUGUUGAGAGCGGAAUUCUUAGUGUAGAGGUGACAUGCGUAGAUAUUAGGAGUAAAACCAGUGGCGUUAGCGGCUCUCUGGACUGUAACUGACUCUGAGGUACGAAAGUGUGGGGAGUGAACAGGAUUAGAUACCCUUGUAGUC
RNAcentral lists this ribosomal RNA (440 nucleotides) under uncultured bacterium. RNAcentral's name for it is "bacterial SSU rRNA". It matches the Rfam family "Bacterial small subunit ribosomal RNA", at positions 338 to 795 of the family's 1533-position model. The record is from RNAcentral.